Molecule: ribosomal RNA, 509 nt
Filed under: uncultured Actinomycetes bacterium
Lineage: Bacteria; Bacillati; Actinomycetota; Actinomycetes
Description: bacterial SSU rRNA
Rfam family: Bacterial small subunit ribosomal RNA
Source: RNAcentral
AAUCUGCCCUCCAUUUGGGGAUAACUCCGGGAAACCGGGGCUAAUACCGAAUAUUGAAACAUAAGUGGCAUCACUGAGUUUUGAAAGAAUUUCCGUGGGGGAUGACUUCGCGGCCUAUCAGCUUGUUGGUGAGGUAAUGGCUCACCAAGGCGACGACGGGUAGCCGGCCUGAGAGGGCGACCGGCCACACUGGGACUGAGACACGGCCCAGACUCCUACCGGAGGCAGCAGUGGGGAAUAUUGGGCAAUGGACGCAAGUCUGACCCAGCGACGCCGCGUGCGGGAUGAAGGCCUUCGGGUUGUAAACCGCUUUCAACAGGGAAGAAGCGAAAGUGACGGUACCUGCAAAAGAAGCACCGGCUAACUAUGUGCCAGACAGCCGCGGUAAUACAUAGGGUGCAAGCGUUGUCCGGAAUUAUUGGGCGUAAAGAGCUCGUAGGUGGUUAGUUACGUCGGGUGUGAAACUCUGGGGCUCAACCCCAGACCUGCACUCGAUACGGGUUAGCUAG